RNAcentral lists this long non-coding RNA (249 nucleotides) under Gossypium barbadense (sea-island cotton). Its description in RNAcentral is "long non-coding RNA (GBAR_LNC014232)". Lineage: Eukaryota; Viridiplantae; Streptophyta; Magnoliopsida; Malvales; Malvaceae. The record is from RNAcentral.
GCCGAACCAUCAUGUUGCUUCACCUGAUGCAUUCAUGCAUACUUAGCCUUGAAGAAUAGCCUUAAUUCCAUGAAUGUGCAGCCCUUUAAUGUUCCUACAUCUCCUUUGGCUGAAUGGAGCUUUAAAGUGUCUUAAAAACUUGAAUGAUCAUCAUGAAAAUACAUGGAACAUGCCUAAAACGUCCCAAGAUAUGUUCUUCCUUAAAUUCUGUCCAUAAAUGUGCAAAUGCAUGACCAUUCAGCAGCCCCC